GUGGGGAAUUUUGGACAAUGGGCGCAAGCCUGAUCCAGCAAUGCCGCGUGCAGGAAGAAGGCCUUCGGGUUGUAAACUGCUUUUGUACGGAACGAAACGGUCCGGGUUAAUACCCUGGGCUAAUGACGGUACCGUAAGAAUAAGCACCGGCUAACUACGUGCCAGCAGCCGCGGUAAUACGUAGGGUGCAAGCGUUAAUCGGAAUUACUGGGCGUAAAGCGUGCGCAGGCGGUUUUGUAAGACAGGCGUGAAAGCCCCGGGCUCAACCUGGGAAUUGCGCUUGUGACUGCAAGGCUGGAGUGCGGCAGAGGGGGAUGGAAUUCCGCGUGUAGCAGUGAAAUGCGUAGAUAUGCGGAGGAACACCGAUGGCGAAGGCAAUCCCCUGGGCCUGCACUGACGCUCAUGCACGAAAGCGUGGGGAGCAAACAGGAUUAGAAACCCUGGUAGUCC
Molecule: ribosomal RNA, 450 nt
Filed under: uncultured bacterium
Lineage: Bacteria
Description: partial 16S ribosomal RNA
Rfam family: Bacterial small subunit ribosomal RNA
Source: RNAcentral